Molecule: RNA transcript, 979 nt
Organism: Mus musculus (house mouse)
Lineage: Eukaryota; Metazoa; Chordata; Mammalia; Rodentia; Muridae
Gene: Speer6-ps1
Gene name: spermatogenesis associated glutamate (E)-rich protein 6, pseudogene 1
Exons: 5
Source: RefSeq, marked provisional
ACUACAUUGGUGGACAUGUUUUCUCGACUCAGCAAUCUUUUUAGGAGAGCCAGUGUGGAUGGGAGAGAGGCCAGAGAGAGGAGGGAGGAUGCUGGCCUUCCAUCUGAGAGUAAUGAAGGAACAAGAAAGUGGACUGGGAGAAUGUGGAAAAGCAGACAGGAAAGUAGACUCUUCCAUAGAUACUCCAAACAGACUACUUCAAGAAACAAAGAACUAUGUUUGAACCUAUGGUGCUUAGAAGGAAGAUCAAAGUAUGGAUGCUUCAGUCCUGCAUUAAGGGGAGAACAGGAUGAUCAUGGGACUCACAGACAGACAUCAUCCACUGCACCUGACCUAAGCAAGAAUGAGUUCAAAAAGGAAAAGGAGAGGCUGACAACAGAGCUGCACUUCAUUACCCAGAAGAGAAAUGAGCAGAGAGAUCACCUGAUAGCUUUCAAAGAGGGAUCCAUGAACAAGAGGAGUCAGAGACUCCAGCAAGAGCUGAAAUUUCCACAUCCCAGGAAGAGAGCCUCCUGCAGAAUGAGUUUCCACCUCAGGAGCCCCCUGCUGAACUCCAUCCCCAACAUCCACAGUCUACCUUGGAUGAAUCUUAUUACAUUCAGUACAUUUUCGCGGUGUGAAUAGGAGGAAGCUAGUGAGCCAGCUGAUUCAUGGUGUUAUUCCCUUUCCUGUUCUGGCAACAUCCCUUGAGUGAGGACUGAGGUGACUGCCCUGCCAACAGCAGUCCAAGAGGAGAUACAGGCUGUAGGUCUGUACUUCUUAAUAUGCAGUGAAAGGGUGCUGAUGUAGAAUCAUUUCCUGUUAGAGUUUUGGUUAAAGUUUUGCUCUUUAUAGUUUUAUUCUUUUUUUAGGUUUUGGGAAGUUAUGUGUUCUUAUGAUUGGUAUUCAUGUUUAGUUUUUGAUUUUAUCUAUUUAUAUUAACUGUACUUUUAAAGCCUGUUUUUUAAACUUUAUAUUUCUUAUAAAUAAAAAUUGAUUU